GAGAGGCUCAGCUGACAACAGAAAAAGGACAGGAAAGAAGAAGGGAGAAAAGGUGGAAAAGGUCAUGUUCGGACUCCAGACCUGGUUUAUGGGAAAACAUCCUCAUCCAGAAUCAGAGGUUUUGUCUUGACCUCUUGAUGCUUGUGUGUUUUUGGUCAGCUGUCCCAUUUACUGUUUCCCAUUUCUAGUGAGUGAGUAGGCAGGGGGCUGGGGCAGCAGACAGAGUCAGCGGCAGGGACACGUCUCAGGCAUCCGAACCCCCUGGGUGCUGCUCCUGUGUGCGUUUGCUGGUCUCCCCCCAGAGACUCUGAGAAGCCGACUGGAUGCUCUCAUUUUAACAACACACACCUCUCCUCUUCUUGCUCCUUCUCCGAGCCAGAAACUACAUGAUCUACAGACGCGUUUGGGGAGGACUGUCCCGGAUGACUCUAACGGACCUUUCAACGAAACAUGAAAGGAAUAGGAAUGUUUCGAAGUGAACACAGAGGCCAAAGGGAGAGAAAGCCUGGAGGGAGACCACCAAGUGGCUAGUGACUAGCUGAACUUUUCUCCUAGGAAGAAAUUUGAUUCUAAGCUAUAAAUUUGGAUGUAUAGGUGUCAAAAUAUUAACAUUUGUUUAGCUGAUGACAUUACAGGUAACUUAAUUUUUUCUUCCUGCUUAUUUGUGUUUCCUAACCUGUUAAUCUUUUAACACUUUACAUGCCAUAUUCUUAAGUUCUACAAGGCACGUUAGAGAAAUUACAUUUUCUAUAUUGGAAGUGUAUUUAUAAUCAAAAUAUUAAAUAGAUUAUUGCCUCAAGAAGAAAAAGAA
Molecule: long non-coding RNA, 811 nt
Filed under: Equus asinus (donkey)
Lineage: Eukaryota; Metazoa; Chordata; Mammalia; Perissodactyla; Equidae
Description: lncRNA (ENSEASG00005032752.1)
Source: RNAcentral